UACGAGUGCCCCGAGCGUUAUCCGGAAUCAUUGGGCGUAAAGGGUGUGUAGGUGGCAGUGUUAGUCUAUUGUUAAAACCUGGGGCUUAACCCCAGAUGUGCGAUAGAUACGGCACAGCUAGAGGAUGGCAGGGAUGUAUGGAACUCAUGGAGUAGGGGUGAAAUCCGUUGAUAUCAUGGGGAACACCAAAAGCGAAGGCAGUACAUUGGGCCACUCCUGACACUGAAACACGAAAGCGUGGGUAGCGAAUGGG
Molecule: ribosomal RNA, 253 nt
Filed under: uncultured bacterium
Lineage: Bacteria
Description: partial 16S ribosomal RNA
Rfam family: Bacterial small subunit ribosomal RNA
Source: RNAcentral